AACGAACGCUGGCGGCAUGCCUAACACAUGCCAGUCGAACGAGACCUUCGGGUCUAGUGGCGCACGGGUGCGUAACGCGUGGGAACCUGCCCUUAGGUUCGGAAUAACUCCCCGAAAGGGGUGCUAAUACCGGAUAAUGUCUUCGGACCAAAGAUUUAUCGCCUUUGGAUGGGCCCGCGUUGGAUUAGCUAGUUGGUAGGGUAAAAGCCUACCAAGGCGACGAUCCAUAGCUGGUCUGAGAGGAUGAUCAGCCACACUGGGACUGAGACACGGCCCAGACUCCUACGGGAGGCAGCAGUGGGGAAUAUUGGACAAUGGGCGAAAGCCUGAUCCAGCAAUGCCGCGUGAGUGAUGAAGGCCUUAGGGUUGUAAAGCUCUUUUACCCGGGAUGAUAAUGACAGUACCGGGAGAAUAAGCUCCGGCUAACUCCAUG
RNAcentral lists this ribosomal RNA (433 nucleotides) under uncultured bacterium. RNAcentral's name for it is "partial 16S ribosomal RNA". It matches the Rfam family "Bacterial small subunit ribosomal RNA", at positions 29 to 507 of the family's 1533-position model. The record is from RNAcentral.